UACGUAGGGGGCAAGCGUUGUCCGGAAUCAUUGGGCGUAAAGAGCGUGUAGGCGGCCCAAUAAGUCCGCUGUGAAAGUCCAGGGCUCAACCCUGGAAUGCCGGUGGAUACUGUCGGGCUCGAAUCCGGAAGAGGUGAGUGGAAUUCCUGGUGUAGCGGUGAAAUGCGCAGAUAUCAGGAGGAACACCAAUGGCGAAGGCAGCUCACUGGGACGGUAUUGACGCUGAGACGCGAAAGCGUGGGGAGCAAACAGG
This 253-nucleotide ribosomal RNA is filed under the name uncultured bacterium. RNAcentral describes it as "partial 16S ribosomal RNA". It matches the Rfam family "Bacterial small subunit ribosomal RNA", at positions 524 to 776 of the family's 1533-position model. The record is from RNAcentral.